AGAGUUUGAUCCUGGCUCAGAAUCAACGCUGGCGGCGUGCCUAACACAUGCAAGUCGAACGCGAAAGGGGCUUCGGCCCUGAGUAGAGUGGCAAACGGGUGAGUAACGCGUGGGUGACCUACCUUCGAGUGGGGGAUAACGUUCCGAAAGGAGCGCUAAUACCGCAUGAAGUUCCGGGUUUGAACAUCUGGAAACCAAAGCCGGGGAUCGCAAGACCUGGCGCUUGGAGAGGGGCCCGCGUCUGAUUAGCUAGUUGGCGGGGUAAUGGCCCACCAAGGCGACGAUCAGUAGCCGGCCUGAGAGGGCGGACGGCCACACUGGGACUGAGACACGGCCCAGACUCCUACGGGAGGCAGCAGUGGGGAAUUGUUCGCAAUGGGCGCAAGCCUGACGACGCAACGCCGCGUGGGGGAUGAAGGUCUUCGGAUUGUAAACCCCUGUCGAGCGGGACGAAUGACUCACGACCCAACACGUCGUGGGAAUGACGGUACCGCUAAAGAG
This 501-nucleotide ribosomal RNA is filed under the name uncultured Acidobacteriaceae bacterium. RNAcentral describes it as "bacterial SSU rRNA". It matches the Rfam family "Bacterial small subunit ribosomal RNA", at positions 8 to 489 of the family's 1533-position model. The record is from RNAcentral. Lineage: Bacteria; Pseudomonadati; Acidobacteriota; Terriglobia; Terriglobales; Acidobacteriaceae.